Molecule: ribosomal RNA, 514 nt
Filed under: uncultured bacterium
Lineage: Bacteria
Description: partial 16S ribosomal RNA
Rfam family: Bacterial small subunit ribosomal RNA
Source: RNAcentral
GACGAACGCUGGCGGCGUGCCUAAUACAUGCAAGUCGAGCGGACGAAUCGAAAGCUUGCUUUUGAUUCGUUAGCGGCGGACGGGUGAGUAACACGUGGGCAACCUGCCCUGUAGACGGGGAUAACACCGAGAAAUCGGUGCUAAUACCGGAUAACACGAAAUGUCGCAUGACGUUUCGUUGAAAGACGGCGCAAGCUGUCGCUACAGGAUGGGCCCGCGGCGCAUUAGCUAGUUGGUGCGGUAACGGCUCACCAAGGCGAAGAUGCGUAGCCGACCUGAGGGGGUGAUCGGCCAGACUGGGACUGAGACACGGCCCAGACUCCUACGGGAGGCAGCAGUAGGGAAUCUUCCGCAAUGGACGAAAGUCUGACGGAGCAACGCCGCGUGAGCGAAGAAGGCCUUCGGGUCGUAAAGCUCUGUUGUUAGGGAAGAACAAGUAACGCAGUAACUGGCGUUACCGUGACGGUACCUAACGAGAAAGCCACGGCUAACUACGUGCCAGCCGCCGCCGUAA